RNAcentral lists this transfer RNA (71 nucleotides) under Corymbia citriodora subsp. variegata. It matches the Rfam family "tRNA". From Rfam's summary of the family: Transfer RNA (tRNA) molecules are approximately 80 nucleotides in length. Their secondary structure includes four short double-helical elements and three loops (D, anti-codon, and T loops). Lineage: Eukaryota; Viridiplantae; Streptophyta; Magnoliopsida; Myrtales; Myrtaceae. The record is from Rfam by way of RNAcentral. RNAcentral also lists the same sequence under 1 other name.
AAGAGAUUAACUUAGUGGUAAAGUGGCCAUCUUACACGUGGUUUACCGGUGUUCGAUUCACCGAUUUCUUA